RNAcentral lists this transfer RNA (73 nucleotides) under Acropora cervicornis. RNAcentral's name for it is "tRNA-Ile". It matches the Rfam family "tRNA". From Rfam's summary of the family: Transfer RNA (tRNA) molecules are approximately 80 nucleotides in length. Lineage: Eukaryota; Metazoa; Cnidaria; Anthozoa; Scleractinia; Acroporidae. The record is from RNAcentral.
GGCUUCAUAGCUCAGUUGGUUAGAGCGCCGCACCAAUAUCGCGAGGUCACAGAUUCAAACCCUUUUGAAGUCC